Molecule: long non-coding RNA, 784 nt
Organism: Fopius arisanus
Lineage: Eukaryota; Metazoa; Arthropoda; Insecta; Hymenoptera; Braconidae
Exons: 3
Source: RefSeq, a predicted model, not a curated record
GAUAUGAAAUUCUUCGCUUUCAACUAUGGGUUUUGUCUCACCGUGUGAUUCUGUUGGCCUACGUUUGGGGUGGAAAAACAAUCCCUCUAAUACCACAUAAGCUUCAAAAUUAUCUGGCAUCUCCUUCAAGGUUCCCAGCAAACAAAUGAAGGCAUCAAGUUUUUCAUGUUAAAACAUCACAAGCUCAUAAAGGUUCCACUCAAUAUGAUACGCAAGUUUUCUAAUGAACAAUACUUCUCUAUGGUGAAACAACUUCAAGAAUCUAUGGGCCACGAACGUCAACAGCAGGCGUAAACAUACCAUUUUUGACAGUAGAAGAACAGUAAUUACGCAAAGGGCACAAGGACAUUAAUUACAGUCACAGACGACUACGGUCGGCAGCCAAGUUGGUAAAAUCCACGACAUCGAGAUCGAUUGGGACGAAGAGAGGUCAAAAUAUUUUCGGGAGAUCUGAAGCAGCCCAGAUGACUCCGAUGACGAGAAUCGGAGGGAGGAUCCGGCGACAGCGUCCCUCUCGGAGCCCAUGCUAAUCGGACGGAUGCAAAAGAUGUCUCCAACCUAAGGAUCCAAUGUCUCCAGUUGCUAGAGGUGUUUGGCUCUGGUCACCCUAGUCUGAGGAACGACCUGGAGAGGAAAAUUCUCCACUACUCAGGCAACCAAUGACAAGAAAAUUGUAAAGAACAAUAUCCGACCUGGACAUUCUCCCGAGAUGGUCAAGAUUUUUAUGAAUUUUCGACAUUAUUGCCUUGAUACUGGUAUUGCGGUCCAGCUCGAGAGAUUCAUC